RNAcentral lists this ribosomal RNA (399 nucleotides) under uncultured Sphingobacteriales bacterium. RNAcentral's name for it is "bacterial SSU rRNA". It matches the Rfam family "Bacterial small subunit ribosomal RNA", at positions 983 to 1382 of the family's 1533-position model. The record is from RNAcentral. Lineage: Bacteria; Pseudomonadati; Bacteroidota; Sphingobacteriia; Sphingobacteriales.
AAAUGUAUGUUGACGUAUUCUGAAAGGGAGUACUUCUUCGGACAAUAUACAAGGUGCUGCAUGGUUGUCGUCAGCUCGUGCCGUGAGGUGUCGGGUUAAGUCCCAUAACGGGCGCAACCCCUAUCAUUAGUUGCCAUCAGGUCAAGCUGGGGACUCUAAUGAAACUGCCUACGCAAGUAGUGAGGAAGGUGGGGGAUGACGUCAAAUCAGCACGGCCCUUACGUCCAGGGCUACACACGUGCUACAAUGGCCGGUACAAAGGGCAGCUACCUGGUGACAGGAUGCUAAUCUCAAAAGCCGGUCUCAGUUCGGAUCGGAGUCUGCAACCUGACUCCGUGAAGCUGGAAUCGCUAGUAAUCGCGCAUCAGCCAUGGCGCGGUGAAUACGUUCCCGGGCCUU